AGCAGAGAGGUUCCCCAGCGAUCCGGCGAGGUGGGAGAGUAAUUACACUUGGCACGCGCUGCGAAUGAGGAGCUGCUGGACACAAACCCUCCGAGGAGUUGAGGCCGAGUGCACGAAGCGCGGAGAGACGCCAGCUCCUCGGGCCUCGCGGCGGACGGGACAAUGGGACGUCUCCCCGCUCGGGCCAAAUGCCUCCGCUCGCGGCAUCGAUCCUUUUCAGCAGCUCGCCACGCGCUCGGAACCCACGCUUUUUUCGCUUUCCGCCACUUUGUAAAACUCUGCACCCUGGGCUUGUUGGGCGUUUGGCAAAUAACAGUCAGGUUGGACGCUGGGAUGUGCGGGGAACGAAGCGGGCUGUGGGAGCUCUUCGAAAGGGAGAGGAUGGACGAAGAGCUGACCGUCCCCGACCGGCCUUGUCUUAUCGCCCUGUGUCGAGAUGGAUUGGCAGGCCAGCGUUACCUUGGCGGCUUGACGCGCCGAGUCAUGAUUAACGACCCCGAUGGAAGGUGAUUACGCUGAAAAUGAUCUCCAAUGAGGAAAUAAGAACUGGAUGGAUAAUAAAUAGCUGACACCUUCAGGACCUUGACAGAAUAAAUAGCUUUUUUAAUGGGAGGAAUAUGACGACAGUACAGUGUUUUAUAAUGAUGUUGGUUUAACGACCGCAGUAGCGGGGCAGACUGGGCGGGGGGUGGAAUGCAUUUCUCUUAAAAAAAAGAAAAAAAAAAAUCAAUCAUUUUCAAUGAGGGAUACAGUAUUUCGAGGAGAUAGCUGGUGCAAUGGGGAAAAUGAAAAUGAGGCUCACUUCCCAGAGCCAUGAAAUUAUUUUCACGUGUACAUCUGUUUCAGAUGUCGCCUUUGCUCUUUGACACUAAACGCGUUCAUAUAAACAAACAAACAAAUCCCCAUGACAUCGUCUGACACAUCUCCACCGGUUGUGUGUU
Long non-coding RNA from Scleropages formosus (Asian bonytongue), 941 nucleotides. RefSeq lists it as uncharacterized. The record is from RefSeq and is a predicted model, not a curated record. Lineage: Eukaryota; Metazoa; Chordata; Actinopteri; Osteoglossiformes; Osteoglossidae. The transcript has 2 exons.